Oryza barthii is the source of this 205-nucleotide non-coding RNA. The record is from Rfam. NCBI's taxonomy places the organism in Eukaryota, Viridiplantae, Streptophyta, Magnoliopsida, Poales, Poaceae.
AAAAAGAUAAACUCUGGUUUUUCGUGUUAAACUUUGACUGUCUGUCUUAUAUAAAUUUUUUUUAUAAUUCAUAUUUUUAUUGUUGUUAGAUGAUAAAACAUGAUUAAUACUUUGUGGGUGACUUAUCUUUUUAAUUUUUUUCAUAUUUUUUUCAAAUAAGACGGACGGUCAAAUGUUGGGCACAAAAAUCAGGGUUUAUCUUUUU